CAGCCAGGACGAGCAGCCGCGGCCGUCUCAGCUCCUCAGUGCAGCCCCGCCCCCGAGGCCCGCCGCCUUCAGGGCAGCCGUGCUGGGCACCGCCCCCUCCCGCCAAUCAGGCGGCGUCGGCCACGCCCCCUUCCGCGCCCUCAGCCAAUGAGUAGCGUCGGCCAAUCACGGUCAUCACAAGCUCUCAGAGCAGAUGGAGAGCCCAUUUGGAUUCUCUGUAUCAACCUAGAUUUCCAAGGACUGAAAGAACCAAGAGCCUGA
Molecule: long non-coding RNA, 261 nt
Filed under: Rattus norvegicus (Norway rat)
Lineage: Eukaryota; Metazoa; Chordata; Mammalia; Rodentia; Muridae
Description: long non-coding RNA NONRATT033653
Source: RNAcentral